AUCCUAUUUGUGGACCAUGAACAUAAUGAUUGAAUUUUCAUUCUAUUGUGUGAAAUAGGUUUUAAUCCUUAUUAUUACAUCAAGGCAUUACCUGUCUGACA
This is a small nucleolar RNA of Jaculus jaculus (lesser Egyptian jerboa), 101 nucleotides long. RefSeq annotates it as small nucleolar RNA U13. NCBI's taxonomy places the organism in Eukaryota, Metazoa, Chordata, Mammalia, Rodentia, Dipodidae. The transcript has a single exon. The record is from RefSeq and is a predicted model, not a curated record.